This 1367-nucleotide ribosomal RNA is filed under the name uncultured prokaryote. RNAcentral's name for it is "partial 16S ribosomal RNA". It matches the Rfam family "Bacterial small subunit ribosomal RNA". The record is from RNAcentral.
GUCGAACGGUAGAGGGGAGCGUGCUCCCCUUGAGAGUGGCGAACGGCUGAGUAACACGUAGGAACGUACCCCACAGACAGGGAUAACAGACCGAAAGGCCUGCUAAUACCUGAUAUAUCCUCCGGGAGGAAAUGGUCCGCCGCUGUGGGAGCGGCCUGCGGCGUAUUAGGUAGUAGGUGAGGUAAUGGCUCACCUAUCCGAUGAUGCGUAGCUGAUCUGAGAGGAUGAUCAGCCAGACUGGGACUGAGACACGGCCCAGACUCCUACGGGAGGCAGCAGUUCAGAAUCUUGCACAAUGGGGGAAACCCUGAUGCAGCCAUGCCGCGUGAGCGAAGAAGGCCCUCGGGUCGUAAAGCUCUGUCAGAGGGGAAGAUAAUGACGGUACCCUCAAAGGAAGCAACGGCUAAUUACGUGCCAGCAGCCGCGGUAAUACGUAAGUUGCGAACGUUAUCCGGAAUCACUGGGCGUAAAGCGUUCGUAGGCGGCAUGGAAAGUAGGAUUUGAAAGCCCGGGGCUCAACUCCGGAACCGGAUCCUAAACUUCUAAGCUAGAACAGAUCAGAGGGCAGAGGAAUUCCCGGUGUAGCGGUAAUAUGCACAGAUAUCGGGAGGAACACCAGUGGCGAAGGCGACUGCCUGGGGUCUUGUUGACGCUGAGGAACGAAAGCUAGGGUAGCGAACGGGAUUAGAUACCCCGGUAGUCCUAUGCUGUAAACGAUGGACACUAGGUGUCAGGGGCUUCGACCCCCUUGGUGCCGCAGCUAACGCAUUAAGUGUCCCGCCUGGGGAGUACGGCCGCAAGGUUAAAACUCAAAGGAAUUGACGGGGGCCCGCACAAGCAGUGGAGCAUGUGGUUUAAUUCGAUGCUACGCGAAGAACCUUACCAGGACUUGACAUCCCGGCGUAAUCCCUUAGAAAUAGGGGACCCCUUCGGGCGCCGGUGACAGGUGGUGCAUGGUUGUCGUCAGCUCGUGCCGUGAGGUGUUGGAUUAAGUUCCGCAACGAGCGCAACCCUUGUUGUUAGUUGCCAUCAUUCAGUUGGGCACUCUAGCGAGACUGCCAGCGUCAAGCUGGAGGAAGGUGGGGACGACGUCAAAUCAUCAUGCCCCUUACGUCCUGGGCUACACACGUGCUACAAUGGGCGGUACAAUGGGUUGCCACAUCGCGAGAUGGAGCGAAUCCCCAAAGCCGUCCUCAGUUCGGAUUGCAGGCUGCAACUCGCCUGCAUGAAGCUGGAAUUGCUAGUAAACGUGGAUCAGCAUGCCGCGUUGAAUACGUACCCGGGCCUUGUACACACCGCCCGUCACACCAUGGAAGUCGGUAACACCCGAAGCCCGUGAGCUAACCGCAAGGAGGCAGCGGUCGAAG